This 804-nucleotide ribosomal RNA is filed under the name uncultured crenarchaeote. RNAcentral describes it as "bacterial SSU rRNA". It matches the Rfam family "Archaeal small subunit ribosomal RNA", at positions 52 to 863 of the family's 1478-position model. Lineage: Archaea; Thermoproteati; Thermoproteota. The record is from RNAcentral.
UGCGAGUCAUUGUAGUAAUACAAGGCAGACGGCUCAGUAACGCGUAGUCAACCUACCCUAUGGACGGGAAUAACCUCGGGAAACUGAGUAUAAUGCCCGAUAGAACACUAUGCCUGGAAUGGUUUGUGUUCCAAAUGAAUGUCGCCGUAGGAUGGGACUGCGGCCUAUCAGUUUGUUGGUGAGGUAAUGGCCCACCAAGACUAUUACAGGUACGGGCUCUGAGAGGAGUAGCCCGGAGAUGGGUACUGAGACACGGACCCAGGCCCUAUGGGGCGCAGCAGGCGAGAAAACUUUGCAAUGUGCGAAAGCACGACAAGGUUAAUCCGAGUGGUUUGUGCUAAACGAACCUUUUGACAGUCCUAGAAACACUGUUGAAUAAGGGGUGGGCAAGUUCUGGUGUCAGCCGCCGCGGUAAAACCAGCACCUCAAGUGGUCAGGAUGAUUAUUGGGCCUAAAGCAUCCGUAGCCGGCUCUGUAAGUUUUCGGUUAAAUCUGUACGCUCAACGUACAGGCUGCCGGGAAUACUGCAGAGCUAGGGAGUGGGAGAGGUAGACGGUACUCGGUAGGAAGGGGUAAAAUCCUUUGAUCUAUUGAUGACCACCUGUGGCGAAGGCGGUCUACCAGAACACGUCCGACGGUGAGGGAUGAAAGCUGGGGGAGCAAACCGGAUUAGAUACCCGGGUAGUCCCAGCUGUAAACUAUGCAAACUCAGUGAUGCAUUGGCUUGUGGCCAAUGCAGUGCUGCAGGGAAGCCGUUAAGUUUGCCGCCUGGGAAGUACGUACGCAAGUAUGAAACUUAAAGGA